AUAUAAGUCAGGCUGCGGUAUAUUAAUGAAAAAGAAUUCUCUACUCUUCUGAUACAUACAUACAUGAAGCUUUCUUUAUUCAGUCUCUCCUCCCUUCAUAUAUACCUUUUCUUUGUUUACUUUUGAGCUCAACUUGGUUAGAUUUCCAUGACCCCAUUUGAUCAUUGGGAGUUCAUAGAGCACUGCAUUAUCUGAAAAGAGCUCAAAGAAGGUCUCCUGCAGGGAAAAGUAAGGAAAGUGGGUGUUCAUCAAGAAUGAAACUUUACCAUGGCUUGGUUGCUGGAAGAAAUAUAGGAACUGGAUUGAAACAAAUAAUUUUCAAUCUUCUCUUCUUCAAUAUUCUUCUAAAAAGGGCCUAGUUGAAGUGUUGUUGAAAUAGGGCCGUGACUGGGCCCAUGCUUGCCGAGGAUGAUGUGGAUUGAGACAGAGGAGUUUUCCUCUUACUGUCGUUGGUGGGUGUGGGCCAGAAAAAGCCCACCCAUAGGCUCGCAAUCUAAAUUGGACUUUCAAGGAGGUUUGGAGUUUUGGGUUUUCGCUUUCUGCCCCAAUCCCAUCCCAAAUGCGUUUCACCAUUGUAUCACCAAGAUGGUUCACCACGUACAACUUAUGCACCAAUGGAGUUUGGUUCCCAGUAAUUUCAAUGAAGGAUGUAGUCGAGUACUGCACAACUUGGUCAUCUGCAGCAAACAAUUCCCAGCCUGCCCCGAGGCCGCCAAAACUCGAAGUAGCGAUGGAAAUCAAAGGGUCAGACGACACCGGUGCAAUCCCAGUACUAGGAUGUUGUUGCAGUUGGUGGUGUUGGGCAGCGAAGGCAUCAUCAUUGAUCAAUGAGUUGAGGAACGAAGAGAAAACAUCAUCGGAGCAGUAAUUCAUGUCAUCUUCUUCUUCAGUGCUGCUGGGGCCAUUAUUGUAAUUGCCUCUCAAACCCAUCCCAGAAUUACCAUCAGAGUUUGGCAAAGCCGUAUAGCCAUGGAGUAACUGAUGAUCAUCCAAAUUAGAACUUUGGAAGUAUCCAAUAUUUUCCUUGAUGGGGAUUAUUCCACUGUCACUAUCAGGAGUCAGCUCUUCUGUAACAACUGGAGAAGCGGGAAUAUUAGGGUUAGGGUUUGGGAUAUUGCGAUUGGUUUUUGAUGAAGAAGCUUUAUUGGCAUUGGCGGCGCCGGAGGAGUCGGGGUUCAAAGGCUUGUGGGUUCUUGGAUCUAUGCCUUGGCUGAUCAACUUCUUGCUGAGAUAUAUUACCGGUUGCCGAGGAGACGGUGAAGGCGAAGAAUGAGAUCUUCUUCGUCGGGGGCGAUCUGGCCGCGCUUGACGGAUGGUCGAAGAUAGUUCAUCCAGCGGAGGCGGCAGCUCUUGCCGCAGCGUAGCAGCCCGGCUCGCUUGGGAAGGGUCCGCCACCGGCCCUCACCUUCCUUCUUGAUGUAAUUGGCCAGAAGCUCAUCCUCCUCCGGCGUCCACGGCCCUCUCUUCAGCCCCACCUUGCUGCAGCACGGAGUCGUGGUCGUCGACUUGCCUGCAGUGACCGUCGCCGACCCAGACCCACCUCCUGCCUUUGCUGUUGGCGAUGACGACGACGAUGGGUUCCUCAUGUCCUUUGCUUCUCUCUCGCUCUCUAUCUCCCUCAAAUCUCUUUCUCCGGACAAAAUGUCGCGCUUGUCUGUCUAUAUGAUGAUGAUGAUGAGGGUGCCUCUAUGUAUGUGUUUUAAUUUGGUUGCUAUAUAUGAUUGGCUUUUUUAGAUGGGAUAUGGGACUAAAAAGACAUGGGUGAAGUGUCGUCACUGUAAGAAAAUUGCUAUCCUCACUCGCCUUGGAAGAGCGUCAUCAUCACGCAUUGUGCCUAUUGUCUAGGAGUUUUUGUACGUUAAUUGGGAACCUCCUUUGUCUUUUUAUGACCAUUAAAUAAAUAUUUUAAUGAUUUUAAA
Long non-coding RNA from Alnus glutinosa, 1919 nucleotides. RefSeq lists it as uncharacterized. The transcript has 6 exons. Lineage: Eukaryota; Viridiplantae; Streptophyta; Magnoliopsida; Fagales; Betulaceae. The record is from RefSeq and is a predicted model, not a curated record.